This 399-nucleotide ribosomal RNA is filed under the name uncultured bacterium. Its description in RNAcentral is "bacterial SSU rRNA". It matches the Rfam family "Bacterial small subunit ribosomal RNA", at positions 28 to 429 of the family's 1533-position model. The record is from RNAcentral.
GAUGAACGCUAGCGGCAGGCCUAAUACAUGCAAGUCGAACGGUAAGGCCCUUUCGGGGGUACACGAGUGGCGGACGGGUGCGUAACGCGUAUGCAACAUGCCUUCCAGCGGGGGAGUAUACCAGGGAAACUUGGCGCAAUACCCCAUAGAAUUACGGGACCGCAUGGUCUUGUGAUUAAAACUCCGGUGCUGGGAGAUUGGCAUGCGUGACAUUAGCUAGUUGGUGAGGUAAAGGCUCACCAAGGCGACGAUCUGUAGCGGGUCUGAGAGGAUGAUCCGCCACACUGGAACUGAGACACGGUCCAGACUCCUACGGGAGGCAGCAGUGGGGAAUUUUGGACAAUGGGCGCAAGCCUGAUCCAGCCAUGCCGCGUGAGUGAAGAAGGCCUCGGUUGUAAG